CAUGUAUUUUUUCGUCUGCUACGAGUGACUUGUGUAGUUCUGCGAAAUAUAAAUUUUUUUAAAAAACAGUGAUAGAAAAGGGGGUUGUUUUGAAGUUCUGAUGUGUUUUCUUUAUAUAUUAGUUCGUUAUAGUGUUAGUGUUUAACUAUGUCACUGUCUAAUUAUGCCAGUGAACUUAGUAUUGAGGCCAAAACACGUUAUUUGGAAAAGUUACAAAUGUUUAACAGUGAUUGUCCAUAUUGUAUUCCUAAUUCUCUGUGGAAACAUGGUUUAGACUGUUGUCCAAUUGUUCCAAAAAUUGCUCCCUCAGAUAUCUUCAUAUAUCUUGUUGAAACAAAAAGCUAUCAAAAUCAUAUUCCAUCUAUGAUGUAAUUCUUAUUUCUUUUGCAGGUUCUCAGUGACUACGACUCGAGAGUCCUUUGUGUCUGUUACCCUCAGAUUCUGCCUCCUGAAAUUUACAACAUUUUAUGGGAUCAAAUUCUUCGUGCCUGUUACCAUACUCUACUUGACGGAUUUUCCGCUGUAAGAAAAUGCACGAACGAAGAUCGUGCACUAAUGCAGUUAGACUUCAGGCAUUUUCAAGUCAAAGUGGAAAGCUUGACAUGUCUAAGACCUCUUCCUGACCCACAUAUUGUCGAAACAUACAUAAAGGCAUAUUAUUUACCUGAAAAUUCUUUCGAAAAAUGGAUUCAAGAACAAACGGAAUAUAAUCCUAGGCAGAUGAUGAAUCUUCUUCAAUACGUAAGUCAAGGCAGUAAAAAGAUUCGGCUGAACUUAACUUCCUUCAUGGAAGAUUUAGAUUUGAAUCGUCGAUAAAGAUCUUUGUUAUGAUUCAAGUGAUGAAAUUUUUGUAAAUUGAGAAAUAUACAUGACAUUCCAUUA
This is a long non-coding RNA of Daphnia magna, 882 nucleotides long. RefSeq lists it as uncharacterized. The record is from RefSeq and is a predicted model, not a curated record. Lineage: Eukaryota; Metazoa; Arthropoda; Branchiopoda; Diplostraca; Daphniidae. The transcript has 3 exons.